This is a long non-coding RNA of Hypanus sabinus (Atlantic stingray), 2338 nucleotides long. RefSeq lists it as uncharacterized. Lineage: Eukaryota; Metazoa; Chordata; Chondrichthyes; Myliobatiformes; Dasyatidae. The transcript has 3 exons. The record is from RefSeq and is a predicted model, not a curated record.
UUGUUUCCAGGAAGGAGAAAUUGAUAUUCAUGCCAUCAGGUUGGCAGCAACUCAAACAGAAAGCAAAUUAGAAUAAAAUGUAAAAGGAAAUGCAAUACAGGGCGAAACUUGUUAGAUCUUGUAUUAUUCACGUAACCCGACACAACCUUCAUUUCAAGGAUGAAAUACCCUUGCUAGGGUGUAUUGUUCAGAACCAUUGGUGCCGCGUGACUUGGAUUUUGUGCAGAGGAAAGUAAGGGCGGGGGGGGUGGUGAAAUCAGAGAGUGUGUGGCACUUGGAAUUGUUCUGUGUAUGAUUCUACAACCCAGCUCAGCCACGUGUCCGAAAAGGUGAAUCACAAUCCAUUUUGUGAACACUGCGGACUGACCAGCCCUCGCCACUCUUCAAACAGCGUGAUGGCAGUAACGCUGUUGUAAAGCUCAGGUCCUGUAAUGGGAACUGAACUUAAGUAUCUGGGUUGCCGUUAAGCACAAUAGACCCAUUACUGCACUGGAGAGGCAGUGUUGACUACAGUGAAGAGGACAGAAUAACUGGGAAAAUCUUGCACUGGCAUUUCCCACAACAGAGAAAACCGAGCAAUGACUGAGGUAAAAUGAUCGGAUACGGGCACACAAAACCAAGGCAGCUAUUGGAACCAACAGCAUUAAACCCCUGGAGGUGGAACCCAGCACCUCAGAGCCCCAGAAUUUGCUCCAGGGCAGAGAGACUUGCAGAGGGGAGAUGGUCGCAAUAAAGAGUUUCAGGGCGUAUGGCCUCCACAGAGCCCUGAUCUCAACAUCAUCGAGGCUGUCUGGAGAGACGGAAGCAAGCGAGACAACCCAAGUCUGCAGAAGACCUGUGGCACGUUCGCACAAUCUACAGGCAAUGUUCUUGUAAAACUGCAUGAGAGUGUACCUAAGAGAAUUGAUACAGUUUUAAGGGCAAAGGGCAGUCACACUGGAUAGUAUCUUGAUUUCUUUAUUUACUGUUUUCUGAUCUUUAAAGCAAUUAUUUUGAUUUUUUGAAACUCUUCAUUUUAUUUUUGAAAGCAUUUUUGCUUUACAGGAUUUUUUUUUUUAACAUGUGCCCAAGACUUUAGCACACAACUGUACAAGAUACUAAUAAAUCAGGAGAAAUUUCAAUUAGCAGUCCCAUGUGGAGUGGUCAAACUGAACAGAAAAUAUUCCUUAAAACAGCAGCUAAAUACACAAAAAAAAGUUAUGUGAAAUGUGAAAGGGAAGAGGUUCAUAAGAAGUUCAAAAUCAUAAGCCUUAAAAUCCUAUGCUGUUUCAAGAAAUUAUGAUUCCACACAGCCAUGGUGCAUCUCAUCAGUUAAGUUCACCAAGGAUCAAGGGGAUUCUCAAAAUUUUAUUACUAAGUACAGUACUGUGCAAAAGUCUUAAGCACAUAUACAGUAUAAAGCUGGGUGCUUAAGACUUUUCAACUGUACUGCAGUAAUUUUAUGUACUGCACUGUACUGCUGCCAAAGAAAAAUAUCAUGACAUGAGUGAUGAUAAACCUGAUUCUGAUAUAGUCUCUAUUGUGGACUGGGAGUGGGAAGGGGGCAGGGAGAGGGGAAUCACAUUUGGGAAAAGGGGAAGGGAGCAGGAAGCACCAGAGAGACAUUCUGUAAUGAUCAAUAAACAAAUUGUUUAGAAUCAAAUGACCUUGCCCGGUGUUUCUGGGCUGGGUGUGUCUGUAACUGUGCCAAUCCCUGCCCCUGGCACUCCUUCUCUGCCACCUGUCACACACUCCUGCGACACUUCACCCUCGCCAUUCCCAACAACUUUUGCUCCCGCCAGAUUUACAAACUCGCACUCUGCUCCACAUUGAUAAAUUACAAUACUAUGCAAAAGUCUUAGGCACCCUAUCUAUAUUUAUGUGUCUAAGGUGUUUGCACGGGUUCUGUCUGUCUCUCACCCACACAUGUAACCUACUGGAUCCCCUGUCCUGACCAUACAACCCCAGUAUUGUGAACAUGAGGUCUGCCUUCCCACUGAGAUCUAAAUCUGACACUUUCACUGGUGAUGCUUUCACAGUAAACUGCCCAAGUGUUUUAAAUUGCACGAGACUACCCUCAGGAGAUAGCAGCAGCCUUCCACUGUCCAUUAUUACUGCGUAGCAUCAAGAAAUAUCCUGAAAAUGGCUUGCUUUGACCACCUGUGCACUUCUCAAACUCUGGAAAGAAUCAGAACCUGCCCACCUCUUCAGAGUCUAUUCUGGGAUCCUUCCACUAAAUAGCUCAUUCUGCUGGAGGAGGAGAACUCCAUCAUUAAACCAUCCAGAGGCUAGGCACAGUGGCAAGAAACAAGCCAGUGAACAGGAAACAGACUCCAUUAAAUAAGGUUCAAGAGGUUGU